This 518-nucleotide ribosomal RNA is filed under the name uncultured bacterium. RNAcentral's name for it is "bacterial SSU rRNA". It matches the Rfam family "Bacterial small subunit ribosomal RNA", at positions 8 to 518 of the family's 1533-position model. The record is from RNAcentral.
AGAGUUGAUCAUGGCUCAGGAUGAACGCUAGCGACAGGCUUAACACAUGCAAGUCGAGGGGCAGCAUAAAAGUAGCAAUACUUGGUGGCGACCGGCGCACGGGUGAGUAACGCGUAUGCAACCUACCUAUCAGAGGGGAAUAACCCGGCGAAAGUCGGACUAAUACCGCAUAAAACAGGGGCACCGCAUGGUGAUAUUUGUUAAAGAGAUUCGCUGAUAGAUGGGCAUGCGUUCCAUUAGGUAGUUGGUGAGGUAACGGCUCACCAAGCCGACGAUGGAUAGGGGAACUGAGAGGUUGGUCCCCCACACUGGUACUGAGACACGGACCAGACUCCUACGGGAGGCAGCAGUGAGGAAUAUUGGUCAAUGGGCGGGAGCCUGAACCAGCCAAGUCGCGUGAAGGAAGAAGGGUCUAUGGUUCGUAAACUUCUUUUGCGAGGGGAAUAAAGUGCAGGACGUGUCCUUGUUUUGUAUGUACCCUGAGAAUAAGGAUCGGCUAACUCCGUGCCAGCAGCAGC